AAAACUCUCAAAGGACCAAACUUGGCCUUGCCUAAAGCAACAUCAAACAGCAUAUCAAAGAUGAUUUUCUGCCAUUGUAAACACAAGUAGCAGCCAACAUAACCAACUGAAAAAACCUUGUGCUCUCAAACUUCAUUUUUGGGCAUUUUUCCAAACUCUGUCAAAAAAAAAAAACUCAAAAGACCAUGAGCAAGCUUUGUUGGUUCACAAUAUCAAAACAACAUUUUGAACUCAUUCCAACCACUUCCCUCCAUCUGUAAACUCCUUUUCCACUGCUGCUACAAGAG
RNAcentral lists this long non-coding RNA (287 nucleotides) under Lathyrus oleraceus (garden pea). Its description in RNAcentral is "Pisum sativum (pea) long non-coding RNA (PSAT_LNC011169)". The record is from RNAcentral. Lineage: Eukaryota; Viridiplantae; Streptophyta; Magnoliopsida; Fabales; Fabaceae.